GAUGAACGCUAGCUACAGGCUUAACACAUGCAAGUCGAGGGGCAGCAUUUUUCUAGCAAUAGAAGAGAUGGCGACCGGCGCACGGGUGAGUAACACGUAUCCAACCUACCGAUAACUCCGGAAUAGCCUUUCGAAAGAAAGAUUAAUACCGGAUAGUAUACGAAUAUCGCAUGAUAUUUUUAUUAAAGAAUUUCGGUUAUCGAUGGGGAUGCGUUCCAUUAGUUUGUUGGCGGGGUAACGGCCCACCAAGACUACGAUGGAUAGGGGUUCUGAGAGGAAGGUCCCCCACAUUGGAACUGAGACACGGUCCAAACUCCUACGGGAGGCAGCAGUGAGGAAUAUUGGUCAAUGGGCGCAGGCCUGAACCAGCCAAGUAGCGUGAAGGAGGAAGGCUCUAUGGGUCGUAAACUUCUUUUAUAUGGGAAUAAAGUUUUCCACGUGUGGAAUUUUGUAUGUACCAUAUGAAUAAGGAUCGGCUAACUCCGUGCCAGCAGCCGCGGUAAUACGGAGGAUCCGAGCGUUAUCCGGAUUUAUUGGGUUUAAAGGGAGCGUAGGUGGAUUGUUAAGUCAGUUGUGAAAGUUUGCGGCUCAACCGUAAAAUUGCAGUUGAAACUGGCAGUCUUGAGUACAGUAGAGGUGGGCGGAAUUCGUGGUGUAGCGGUGAAAUGCUUAGAUAUCACGAAGAACUCCGAUUGCGAAGGCAGCUCACUAGACUGUCACUGACACUGAUGCUCAAAAGUGUGGGUAUCAAACAGG
This 756-nucleotide ribosomal RNA is filed under the name uncultured bacterium. Its description in RNAcentral is "bacterial SSU rRNA". It matches the Rfam family "Bacterial small subunit ribosomal RNA", at positions 28 to 776 of the family's 1533-position model. The record is from RNAcentral.